RNAcentral lists this ribosomal RNA (492 nucleotides) under Shigella flexneri. Its description in RNAcentral is "bacterial SSU rRNA". It matches the Rfam family "Bacterial small subunit ribosomal RNA", at positions 8 to 488 of the family's 1533-position model. The record is from RNAcentral. Lineage: Bacteria; Pseudomonadati; Pseudomonadota; Gammaproteobacteria; Enterobacterales; Enterobacteriaceae.
AGAGUUUUGAAUCUGGCUCAGAUUGAACGCUGGCGGCAGGCCUAACACAUGCAAGUCGAACGGUAACAGGAAGCAGCUUGCUUCUUCGCUGACGAGUGGCGGACGGGUGAGUAAUGUCUGGGAAACUGCCUGAUGGAGGGGGAUAACUACUGGAAACGGUAGCUAAUACCGCAUAACGUCGCAAGACCAAAGAGGGGGACCUUCGGGCCUCUUGCCAUCGGAUGUGCCCAGAUGGGAUUAGCUAGUAGGUGGGGUAACGGCUCACCUAGGCGACGAUCCCUAGCUGGUCUGAGAGGAUGACCAGCCACACUGGAACUGAGACACGGUCCAGACUCCUACGGGAGGCAGCAGUGGGGAAUAUUGCACAAUGGGCGCAAGCCUGAUGCAGCCAUGCCGCGUGUAUGAAGAAGGCCUUCGGGUUGUAAAGUACUUUCAGCGGGGAGGAAGGGAGUAAAGUUAAUACCUUUGCUCAUUGACGUUACCCGCAGAAGA